GAACAUCCUGCAUGGUGCUGCC
This 22-nucleotide microRNA is filed under the name Cavia porcellus (domestic guinea pig). RNAcentral describes it as "cpo-miR-448-5p". Its record names the gene cpo-miR-448-5p. Lineage: Eukaryota; Metazoa; Chordata; Mammalia; Rodentia; Caviidae. The record is from miRBase by way of RNAcentral.